AACCCAUGGUGAGAGCACCUUCUCAAUAAAUCCUUAUAUCUCUCCCAUGCAUCAUAAAGUGUUUCUAAAUCCAUCUGCACAAAAGAAGAGAUAUCAUUCCUCAACUU
RNAcentral lists this small nucleolar RNA (107 nucleotides) under Gossypium arboreum. Its description in RNAcentral is "Plant small nucleolar RNA R71". It matches the Rfam family "Plant small nucleolar RNA R71". From Rfam's summary of the family: R71 is a member of the C/D box family of snoRNAs containing the C (UGAUGA) and D (CUGA) box motifs. The record is from Rfam by way of RNAcentral. Lineage: Eukaryota; Viridiplantae; Streptophyta; Magnoliopsida; Malvales; Malvaceae.